RNAcentral lists this ribosomal RNA (797 nucleotides) under uncultured bacterium. RNAcentral's name for it is "bacterial SSU rRNA". It matches the Rfam family "Bacterial small subunit ribosomal RNA", at positions 111 to 894 of the family's 1533-position model. The record is from RNAcentral.
UAACACGUGGGUAACCUGCCUUAAAGUGGGCCAUUACAAUUGGAAACAGGUGCUAAUACCGCAUAACCAUCAAAACCGCCUGGUUUUGAUGUUAAAGAUGGUUCUGCUAUCGCUUUAAGAUGGACCCGCGGCGUAUUAGCUAGUUGGUGAGGUAAUGGCUUACCAAGGCAAUGAUACGUAGCCGAACUGAGAGGUUGAUCGGCCACAUUGGGACUGAGACACGGCCCAAACUCCUACGGGAGGCAGCAGUAGGGAAUCUUCCACAAUGGACGAAAGUCUGAUGGAGCAACGCCGCGUGAGUGAAGAAGGUUUUCGGAUCGUAAAACUCUGUUGUCAGAGAAGAACGUGUGUGAGAGUAACUGUUCACGCAGUGACGGUAUCUGACCAGAAAGUCACGGCUAACUACGUGCCAGCAGCCGCGGUAAUACGUAGGUGGCAAGCGUUGUCCGGAUUUAUUGGGCGUAAAGGGAACGCAGGCGGUCUUUUAAGUCUGAUGUGAAAGCCUUCGGCUUAACCGAAGUCGGGCAUUGGAAACUGGGAGACUUGAGUGCAGAAGAGGAGAGUGGAACUCCAUGUGUAGCGGUGAAAUGCGUAGAUAUAUGGAAGAAUACCAGUGGCGAAAGCGGCUCUCUGGUCUGUAACUGACGCUGAGGUUCGAAAGCGUGGGUAGCAAACAGGAUUAGAUACCCUGGUAGUCCACGCCGUAAACGAUGAAUGCUAAGUGUUGGAGGGUUUCCGCCCUUCAGUGCCGCAGCUAACGCAUUAAGCAUUCCGCCUGGGGAGUACGAUCGCAAGAU